GAUGAACGCUGGCGGCGUGCCUAAUACAUGCAAGUCGAACGAACGGACGAGAAGCUUGCUUCUCUGAUGUUAGCGGCGGACGGGUGAGUAACACGUGGAUAACCUACCUAUAAGACUGGGAUAACUUCGGGAAACCGGAGCUAAUACCGGAUAAUAUUUUGAACCGCAUGGUUCAAAAGUGAAAGACGGUCUUGCUGUCACUUAUAGAUGGAUCCGCGCUGCAUUAGCUAGUUGGUAAGGUAACGGCUUACCAAGGCAACGAUGCAUAGCCGACCUGAGAGGGUGAUCGGCCACACUGGAACUGAGACACGGUCCAGACUCCUACGGGAGGCAGCAGUAGGGAAUCUUCCGCAAAGGGCGAAAGCCUGACGGAGCAACGCCGCGUGAGUGAUGAAGGUCUUCGGAUCGUAAAACUCUGUUAUUAGGGAAGAACAUAUGUGUAAGUAACUGUGCACAUCUUGACGGUACCUAAUCAGAAAGCCACGGCUAACUACGUG
This 497-nucleotide ribosomal RNA is filed under the name uncultured bacterium. RNAcentral's name for it is "partial 16S ribosomal RNA". It matches the Rfam family "Bacterial small subunit ribosomal RNA", at positions 28 to 507 of the family's 1533-position model. The record is from RNAcentral.